Molecule: transfer RNA, 73 nt
Filed under: Felis catus (domestic cat)
Lineage: Eukaryota; Metazoa; Chordata; Mammalia; Carnivora; Felidae
Also listed under: 1 other name
Rfam family: tRNA
About the family: Transfer RNA (tRNA) molecules are approximately 80 nucleotides in length.
Source: Rfam by way of RNAcentral
GCCUGGCGGGCUCAGUUGGCAGAGCAUGUGACUUUUGAUCUUGAGGUCAUGAGUUUGAGCCCCAUGUUGGGUA